RNAcentral lists this ribosomal RNA (246 nucleotides) under uncultured bacterium. RNAcentral describes it as "partial 16S ribosomal RNA". It matches the Rfam family "Bacterial small subunit ribosomal RNA", at positions 109 to 354 of the family's 1533-position model. The record is from RNAcentral.
AGUAACGCGUGGGCAACCUGCCCCAUAGAGGGGGACAACAGCUGGAAACGGCUGCUAAUACCGCAUAACAAGGAGAGAGCGCAUGUUCUUUUCUUUCAAAGAUUUAUCGCUAUGGGAUGGACCCGCGUCUGAUUAGCUGGUUGGUGAGGUAACGGCUCACCAAGGCGACGAUCAGUAGCCGGCUUGAGAGAGUGGACGGCCACAUUGGGACUGAGACACGGCCCAGACUCCUACGGAAGGCAGCAG